UUGGCGCAAUACUUUCAGCAUGUGAACACCACAUGGGAAAGAAGCUGGCAUUGAGCAGGCAGUUUUGCAAACAAGGCUCUGAACUUGAAGCUCAGAGGGUGAGCGAGGCCUCGUGCCCCCAGGGCCUCUGCUUGCUCCAUGUUGGUGCCCCAACGUCCAGGGAUGCAAAGCACAGAGGACCCUUAGAGGCCACACCUGGAAGUGCUCAUUCAAUGGACCGAGGGAUGAAAGUGAGGAGAGCGUUAGGGGAGCUGUGCACAGUAAGUAGGGGCUGGAAUGGGAUGUGACCCAGGACAUCCUGGUUAGAUUUGGCCAGGAGAGCUGUGAAAAUAGGGGAAGCUGGUCCCCAAACCCCACACCCUUUUAAAAAAUCAAUCCUGGUGGGCGCAGUGGCAGAAGGACCUGAGUUUGUUACAAAGACCUCAGCAAUCCUCUCCCUCUCCUGACCUGUAAACACCAAGAGCCGGAGACAAUGCAAGUGUCAGACGCUUCUCCACCCGCAAUGAGGCCUGGGAAGCCCAAGUUGAUUGGCUUUCUUUCCAGGAAGGCAGAGCCCAGACGCACUUCAAGGUGGGUAUUUCUGUUUGUUUUCUCCUCAAGGAAAGCACAGCUGAAGGGCUCACGUAUUCCACACCCUCUUUUCAAGGCUCAUUAAUAAGGAGCCCAGGGCAAAAUCAUACAUGUGGCAAACUCCACAACCACCAAGGCCGGCAGAGCAGUGAGAGACGCUCUGCCUUGUAACCUUCUUGGUUUUCUGCAUCAUUCACACAAACCACUUUCUGCAGGGCACUGGGGUGUUCCCUAGCUGGGCUGGACCCACAGGCCCCAAUAAAGCACUUCAGGUUAGAAAGCCUAGCAAAAGGACAGGCUUGGUUCAGGGAGUCACCUGUUGCCUAUUACAAUGAAGUUAGAUGUCUCCUGACCUCAGCCCAUCCCCUGUUGGAUAAAAAGUUUCUGCUUCAGUCUUGCUGUCCACGCCCGUGGAAGAAACUACAAUAGGGGAUUUACUCUCCUGGCCCAAAUCAGGUCGAGCUUCUGGGCCUCCCUACUCCAUGCUGGGGGAUACUGGACAUUCAGAGUGCCUUUCUGUCAGCCCCGCAACACAGCCCCACUGGGGUGGCUGACUGUGCUGACCUUGUGUCUCUGAGCUCAAUUUCAACUGGGGUGUAUCUGAGGGUUAGUCUUCAGAGAACUUGGAAUGAGGUAAGACUUUCCUAGUUCCAUGUAGGUGAUUAUUUUUCCUUUUGUCUAUAUUGAGUUAUUUUGGUUCAUUUGAGAAGUAACUGGGCAGGAGGCUUGUUGACAUUUACUUGAAAUGCCAUCCUUUGUCACCUCUAAAUCAAUGGGGCUUUUCUCAACAGUGUGCAGGGCUGAAUGAGGGAGUGGAAGCCUCUACUCUGCAGCAAAGAUAAGACAAUUAUGAUCAGCCUCUGAAUUCCCAUCACCAUUGCCAGCAGCUGGGCCAUAGGCACUUGUGCAGCCACAUGGAAUACCUCCUUUGUUAGAAGUACCCAGUUUGGACACUGUGGCCC
RNAcentral lists this long non-coding RNA (1532 nucleotides) under Homo sapiens (human). Its description in RNAcentral is "HSALNT0162037". Lineage: Eukaryota; Metazoa; Chordata; Mammalia; Primates; Hominidae. The record is from RNAcentral.